CAAAAAUUCUAAAGGAACCACAGGGAAUUCCUUUUAAGAGCAACAGAAAGCAAGCUAGCUGAGACUUCUGGAUUUCUCAAAUUCUUCUGUGAACAGAAGAAUAAAUCAA
RNAcentral lists this long non-coding RNA (109 nucleotides) under Felis catus (domestic cat). RNAcentral's name for it is "lncRNA (ENSFCAG00000046285.2)". Lineage: Eukaryota; Metazoa; Chordata; Mammalia; Carnivora; Felidae. The record is from RNAcentral.